RNAcentral lists this ribosomal RNA (409 nucleotides) under Acidobacteriota bacterium. RNAcentral's name for it is "Acidobacteria bacterium partial 16S ribosomal RNA". It matches the Rfam family "Bacterial small subunit ribosomal RNA", at positions 355 to 776 of the family's 1533-position model. The record is from RNAcentral. Lineage: Bacteria; Pseudomonadati; Acidobacteriota.
UGGGGAAUAUUGCACAAUGGGCGAAAGCCUGAUGCAGCAACGCCGCGUGAGGGAUGACGGCCUUCGGGUUGUGAACCUCUUUUAGCAGGGAAGAAGCGAGAGUGACGGUACCUGCAGAAAAAGCGCCGGCUAACUACGUGCCAGCAGCCGCGGUAAUACGUAGGGCGCAAGCGUUAUCCGGAAUUAUUGGGCGUGAAGAGCUCGUAGGCGGUUUGUCGCGUCUGCUGUGAAAUCCCGAGGCUCAACCGCGGGCCUGCAGUGGGUACGGGCAGACUAGAGUGGAGUAGGGGGGAUUGGAAUUCCUGGUGUAGCGGUGGAAUGCGCAGAUAUCAGGAGGAACACCGAUGGCGAAGGCAGAUCUCUGGGCCGUAACUGACGCUGAGGAGCGAAAGGGUGGGGAGCAAACAGG